GAUGAACGCUGGCGGCGUGCCUAAUACAUGCAAGUCGAGCGAACAGAUUAGGAGCUUGCUCCUCUGACGUUAGCGGCGGACGGGUGAGUAACACGUGGAUAACCUACCUAUAAGACUGGGAUAACUUCGGGAAACCGGAGCUAAUACCGGAUAAUAUAUUGAACCGCAUGGUUCAAUAGUGAAAGACGGUUUUGCUGUCACUUAUAGAUGGAUCCGCGCCGCAUUAUCUAGUUGGUAAGGUAACGGCUUACCAAGGCAACGAUGCGUAGCCGACCUGAGAGGGUGAACGCACACACUGGAACUGAGACACGGUCCAGACUCCUAGGGGAGGCAGCAGUAGGGACUCUUGCGCAAUGGGCGAAAGCCUGACGGAGCAACGCCGCGUUAGUGAUGAAGGUCUUCGAAUCGUAAAACUCUGUUAUUAGGGAAGAACAAAUGUGUAAGUAACUAUGCACGUCUUGACGGUACCUAAUCAGAAAGCCACGGCUAACUACGUG
This 497-nucleotide ribosomal RNA is filed under the name uncultured bacterium. Its description in RNAcentral is "partial 16S ribosomal RNA". It matches the Rfam family "Bacterial small subunit ribosomal RNA", at positions 28 to 507 of the family's 1533-position model. The record is from RNAcentral.